UAGAAAGAAGCUUGUAGGUUAAAGCAUUUAGCUGUUAACUAAAUUUUUGUGGGGUCGAAGCCCGCCUUUCUAG
RNAcentral lists this transfer RNA (73 nucleotides) under Arthroleptis poecilonotus (West African screeching frog). Its description in RNAcentral is "tRNA-Asn". It matches the Rfam family "tRNA". Rfam says of the family: Transfer RNA (tRNA) molecules are approximately 80 nucleotides in length. The record is from RNAcentral. Lineage: Eukaryota; Metazoa; Chordata; Amphibia; Anura; Arthroleptidae.